GACAGUCUGAAUGUGUGUGUGUUUCAGGUUAUAAAGCAGUAGGACAGUCUGAAUGUGUGUGUGUUUCAGGUUAUAAAGCAGUAGGACAGUCUGAAUGUGUGUGUGUUUCAGGUUAUAAAGCAGUAGGACAGUCUGAAUGUGUGUGUGUUUCAGGUUAUAAAGCAGUAGGACAGUCUGAAUGUGUGUGUGUUUCAGGUUAUAAAGCAGUAGGACAGUCUGAAUGUGUGUGUGUUUCAGGUUAUAAAGCAGUAGGACAGUCUGAAUGUGUGUGUGUUUCAGGUUAUAAAGCAGUAGGACAGUCUGAAUGUGUGUGUGUUUCAGGUUAUAAAGCAGUAGGACAGUCUGAAUGUGUGUGUGUUUCAGGUUAUAAAGCAGUAGGACAGUCUGAAUGUGUGUGUGUUUCAGGUUAUAAAGCAGUAGGACAGUCUGAAUGUGUGUGUGUUUCAGGUUAUAAAGCAGUAGGACAGUCUGAAUGUGUGUGUGUUUCAGGUUAUAAAGCAGUAGGACAGUCUGAAUGUGUGUGUGUUUCAGGUUAUAAAGCAGUAGGACAGUCUGAAUGUGUGUGUGUUUCAGGUUAUAAAGCAGUAGGACAGUCUGAAUGUGUGUGUGUUUCAGGUUAUAAAGCAGUAGGACAGUCUGAAUGUGUGUGUGUUUCAGGUUAUAAAGCAGUAGGACAGUCUGAAUGUGUGUGUGUUUCAGGUUAUAAAGCAGUAGGACAGUCUGAAUGUGUGUGUGUUUCAGGUUAUAAAGCAGUAGGACAGUCUGAAUGUGUGUGUGUUUCAGGUUAUAAAGCAGUAGGACAGUCUGAAUGUGUGUGUGUUUCAGGUUAUAAAGCAGUAGGACAGUCUGAAUGUGUGUGUGUUUCAGGUUAUAAAGCAGUAGGACAGUCUGAAUGUGUGUG
This is a long non-coding RNA of Oncorhynchus keta (chum salmon), 901 nucleotides long. RefSeq lists it as uncharacterized. The record is from RefSeq and is a predicted model, not a curated record. Lineage: Eukaryota; Metazoa; Chordata; Actinopteri; Salmoniformes; Salmonidae. The transcript has 3 exons.